Pygocentrus nattereri (red-bellied piranha) is the source of this 1103-nucleotide long non-coding RNA. NCBI's taxonomy places the organism in Eukaryota, Metazoa, Chordata, Actinopteri, Characiformes, Serrasalmidae. The record is from Ensembl.
GUUCAAUCAAAACGCUGGAGAGAUCCUGUCACAGUUAACAAAACAAAGGUUGAACAGCAGCCAUCCUCCUCUGUGUCUAAGAGACCUGUAAUAGAUCCUGAAAAGGAAUGUCCUAUGCACAAGAAACCUCAUUCCCUCAGGAAGUGCAGGGGUUUCAGGGAAAAGCCACUUGAGGAACGUAUGACUUUCCUGAAGGAGCACUUUGUAUGUUUCAAAUGCUGUGCUUCCACUGCACAUCAGGCAAAAGAGUGCAAAGCAGUCAUUCACUGUUCAGAGUGUGAUAGCAAUCGUCAUGUUUCUGCUCUCCACGCAGGCCCUGCACCUUGGGUCAAUAAGGAAUCUGACACACCUCCUGUAGACCAUGGUGGGGAGCAUCAUGAGCAUGAUUCAGCUAUUCUAACUUCUACAUGCACAGAAGUCUGUGGACAGGGGUUCCAAGGCAAAUCUUGUUCUAAAAUAUGCCUAGUGCAUGUUUAUCCAGAAGGGCAUCCAGAAAAGAAGGUCAAGAUGUAUGUCAUAUUGGAUGAUCAGAGCAAUGUAUCAUUGGCAAGGUCUGCAUUCUUUGACAUUUUCAAUGUACACAGCAACAGUUUCCCCUAUGCUCUCAAAACGUGCUCUGGCACAGUAGACACAGCUGGGAGGCGCGCUGUGGGCUUCAUGGUAGAGUCAGCUGACGGGAAUGUUCACCUGCGACUUCCUACCCUCAUUGAGUGCAACCAAAUUCCAAAUAACAGAGAGGAAAUUCCUACACCAGAAGCUGCACACAGCCACCCUCAUCUCAGGGAGAUUUCCAAUAAGAUUCCACCUCUCGACCCUUCUGCUGAAAUUCUUCUAUUACUGGGGCGAGACAUCAUCCGCGUGCACAAAGUUCGAAGCCAACGUAACGGGAAACAUAAUGCUCCCUAUGCCCAGCACCUGGAUUUAGGAUGGGUCAUUAUCGGUGAUGUCUGCUUAGGUGGUGCUCAUAGACCUAUUGUGAAUGUCUUCAAAACUAACAUCUUGGAGAAUGGACGUCACAGCUAUCUUACUCCGUGUGAGAACAGCAUCUCUGUGAAAGAGAAAUUGGCACAUGAGCAGCAGACAUGCCCCAAAGUCUUGCCUAC